ACAAUUCCAGAUGAGAUUUGGGUGCGACACAGAGCCAGACCGUCUCAAUUGCACCCUGGAUGUGCUGACCCCUGUGAUUUCCCCACGUGUGGGACACCCGGCUGCAUACUUUGUGGUAGUGGGGGACUGCACUCAUACUUUCCCCUG
Molecule: small nuclear RNA, 147 nt
Filed under: Colobus angolensis palliatus
Lineage: Eukaryota; Metazoa; Chordata; Mammalia; Primates; Cercopithecidae
Description: U1 spliceosomal RNA (ENSCANG00000014669.1)
Rfam family: U1 spliceosomal RNA
About the family: U1 is a small nuclear RNA (snRNA) component of the spliceosome (involved in pre-mRNA splicing). Its 5' end forms complementary base pairs with the 5' splice junction, thus defining the 5' donor site of an intron. There are significant differences in sequence and secondary structure between metazoan and yeast U1 snRNAs, the latter being much longer (568 nucleotides as compared to 164 nucleotides in human).
Source: RNAcentral